GGCCGUCACAUGAGGUACGGAAGGUUCACAAACCAAAACUAAAUUCGAAACGCGCGCCGAACCGGACUAUUUCGCGGAGCAGUACAUGUGCAGUAGCUCCGUCCUCUCGUAGCCUUCCCUUCACUGCCAAGAAAAGUUGUCCUUGGGGGCGCUUUAGUUGUUUGACGGGUGCGCGGUGCGUUCGGUUUGUGCGUGUGUGUGUGCCAUGCUGUGUUCUGCAAUGCUUCGUUACCACGUUUAUCGAUUAUGCACGUUGGUUGCGUGAUUCAAUGUCAAGUGUACCUUCCAAGACGAUCUAGGUCCUAGUCUCGUGACUGACGGCGAGUGCAGACGUACAGCAGCCUUUUGACAAGACUGUCGCCGAGUGUACGGUACAUUGUGGACUGUAAAACUGAAGAGUGCACAGUGGACGCCUGAUUUUGGAACCGAGUGUGAUCGUCUGUGCGGUGUGUUCACUCUGCGGGGAUGAUGGCCAGAGGAAGGAUGAUAGACAGACGACAGCUUGCAGAAGAAGAUGGGAGCGUUCUACCUGUGAGCCUGGUCCAGCUUAUAUUUUAUGGAUACACAUGCAUGGAUACACAUACAUGGAUUCCCUACAAGGACCCUGCACAUCAAAAGCAAUCUGUCAUCAAUGUUAAGUAGACAGAUUAAACGAAACGAAGAUAUGACAGGUGUACACCAUAUUUUUCUUUCAUUUAACCUCUGCAUGU
Long non-coding RNA from Rhipicephalus sanguineus (brown dog tick), 710 nucleotides. RefSeq lists it as uncharacterized. The transcript is spliced from 4 exons. NCBI's taxonomy places the organism in Eukaryota, Metazoa, Arthropoda, Arachnida, Ixodida, Ixodidae. The record is from RefSeq and is a predicted model, not a curated record.